UUUAAAUGGCCGCAGUAUAUUAACUGUGCAAAGGUAGCAUAAUCAUUAGUCUUUUAAUUGAAGGCUGGUAUGAAUGGUUGGACGAAAUAUUAACUGUUUCAUAUAAAUUUAUAAUAAAAUUUUAUUUUUUAGUUAAAAAGCUAGAAUUUAUUUAAAAGACGAGAAGACCCUAUAAAUCUUUAUAUUUAAAUUAUUAUAGUUUUAUAGAUUAUUUUUAUUUUAAUAAUGAUAAUAUUUUAUUGGGGUGAUAUUAAAAUUUAAUAAACUUUUAAUUUUGCUAUUCAUUAAUUUAUGAUUAAUUGAUCCGUUAUUAACGAUUAAAAAAAUAAGUUACUUUAGGGAUAACAGCGUAAUUUUUUUGGAGAGUUCUUAUCGAUAAAAAAGAUUGCGACCUCGAUGUUGGAUUAAGAUAUAAUUUUAGGUGUAGCCGCUUAAAUUUUAAGUCUGUUCGACUUUUAA
Molecule: ribosomal RNA, 459 nt
Filed under: Neorthacheta dissimilis
Lineage: Eukaryota; Metazoa; Arthropoda; Insecta; Diptera; Scathophagidae
Description: partial 16S ribosomal RNA
Rfam family: Bacterial large subunit ribosomal RNA
Source: RNAcentral